Long non-coding RNA from Ipomoea nil (Japanese morning glory), 160 nucleotides. RefSeq lists it as uncharacterized. NCBI's taxonomy places the organism in Eukaryota, Viridiplantae, Streptophyta, Magnoliopsida, Solanales, Convolvulaceae. The transcript has 3 exons. The record is from RefSeq and is a predicted model, not a curated record.
GGGAAGAAAUUGGUAUACUUAGCCCCAUAUGUUCUCAAUGAGCAUUGGAUGUUGAUGGCGAUUUGUCCUCGACUAAAUGAAAUGUUUUGGUUUGAUUCACUUGGUCAUGGGCCGCGUGAAGACAUUAAACAUAUAAUGGAAACGUGUAUGACUGCAACAA